RNAcentral lists this unclassified non-coding RNA (717 nucleotides) under Hevea brasiliensis (rubber tree). The record is from RNAcentral. Lineage: Eukaryota; Viridiplantae; Streptophyta; Magnoliopsida; Malpighiales; Euphorbiaceae.
AAAAAAAAAAAAAAAAACCCAUAAUCAAGCUUAUGAGGAUAAAAUGGAGUAGGUUUUUCUAGGGGGGCAGUCAAUUGGCAAUAUGAGGUGGGUGUACAUGGACGAAAGUAGUUUGUGUAGCAGGAGGUGCAAUUUGAAAAUCUAGUGUUGUUAUAUAACUAGAGGCACCAUCUGCAACAACAAUUUACCUGGAUAAAUUUAUAUCAACCUUGAACCACCAAUUUCAUAAUACAAUCAUUCAUAGAAGUAUCGACACAAGAUGGUCAGCAGUGUGAAGUUUUUUAUCAACAAUCAAUCGAUUUGUUGUUUGAGAAAACUUUCUUUCAUCAAUCAAUUAAUUCAACAAUUUGUUGUUUGAGAAAAUCAUCAUUUUUCCAUAUUGCAACAAUAAGAUCAAUAUUAUUAUAUCAUAUAAAUAAUGUCUCUUCCUCAUUUUUCCUUCUUCUAUUCUAAUUCUCGAAAUAUCAUGAGAUGGGGCAGCAGCAAGUCAUCAAUUAUUAUCACAUAAAGAGUUAAUUUACCAUGAGUAAUUAAACUUGUGAGAAUUUUUAAGUUUUAGUAACCAUUCAAUUCAAACAAUGGCUUUCACAGCACUUUUAAGGCAUGUGUACAACAGGAAAGGAGUGCAGAUCUUGGUGUCUAACAGAGCUAAAUGGCGAAAAAGGAUCCGCAUAGUCAACCCCAACUAAUUCAGGAUUAAGGCUUAGUUGUUGCUGU